Molecule: long non-coding RNA, 342 nt
Organism: Aptenodytes forsteri (emperor penguin)
Lineage: Eukaryota; Metazoa; Chordata; Aves; Sphenisciformes; Spheniscidae
Exons: 3
Source: RefSeq, a predicted model, not a curated record
CGCGGCCUGGCAGGGCCCCCAGUGCCAGGAGGACUGGGAGGCUGAGCUGGAGGACCUGGAGGACCCCCCGCCGUUCAUUCUCAACGUCAGGACGAAUGACCUGCUCCUCCCGUGCGACAGCUCUGCCCCGGCACCACCCGUGAGCCGCGGCCGAGACGGGGGAGCCGCAGGACACCCUGCGGCCAGUGCAGAGCGGCGGGCACAGGAGGGACCGCGGACGGUGGCGGCAGGGCCAGGGCGGUGCCCGUUUUGCCCCCAGGACUGGGGGGACCGCGGUGCCAGGGGGGGCAGUGCCCCCUCGGCUGCUGCUGCGGGGGGUGAUUGUACCCACAGGUUUUAAAC